RNAcentral lists this ribosomal RNA (441 nucleotides) under uncultured bacterium. Its description in RNAcentral is "partial 16S ribosomal RNA". It matches the Rfam family "Bacterial small subunit ribosomal RNA", at positions 338 to 795 of the family's 1533-position model. The record is from RNAcentral.
CCUACGGGGGGCAGCAGUGGGGAAUAUUGCGCAAUGGGCGAAAGCCUGACGCAGCGACGCCGCGUGGGUGAAGGAGCGUUUCGGCGCGUAAAGCCCUAUCGGCAGGGAAGAAGGAGGACGGUACCUGACUAAGAAGCCCCGGCUAACUACGUGCCAGCAGCCGCGGUAAUACGUAGGGGGCAAGCGUCAUCCGGAUUUACUGGGCGUAAGGGGGGCGCAGACGGCAGCGCAAGCCAAGAGUGAAAGCCCGGGGCCCAACCACGGGACUGCCCUUGAAACUGCGCGGCUGGAGUGCGGGAGGGGCAGGCGGAAUUCCUGGUGUAGCGGUGAAAUGCGUAGAUAUCAGGAGGAACACCGGUGGCGAAGGCGGCCAGCUGGACUGCGACUGACGUUGAGGCGCGAAAGCGUGGGGAGCAAACAGGAUUAGAUACCCUAGUAGUC